CCUACGGGGGGCAGCAGUGAGGAAUAUUGGUCAAUGGACGAGAGUCUGAACCAGCCAAGUAGCGUGAAGGAUGACUGCCCUAUGGGUUGUAAACUUCUUUUAUAUCGGAAUAAAAUGAUCCACGUGUGGGAUUUUGUAUGUACUAUAUGAAUAAGGAUCGGCUAACUCCGUGCCAGCAGCCGCGGUAAUACGGAGGAUCCGAGCGUUAUCCGGAUUUAUUGGGUUUAAAGGGAGCGUAGGUGGCUUGUUAAGUCAGUUGUGAAAGUUUGCGGCUCAACCGUAAAAUUGCAGUUGAAACUGGCAGUCUUGAGUACAGUUGAGGUGGGCGGAAUUCGUGGUGUAGCGGUGAAAUGCUUAGAUAUCACGAAGAACUCCGAUUGCGAAGGCAGUUCACUGGACUGCAACUGACACUGAGGCUCGAAAGUGUGGGUAUCAAACAGGAUUAGAUACCCCUGUAGUC
Molecule: ribosomal RNA, 460 nt
Filed under: uncultured bacterium
Lineage: Bacteria
Description: partial 16S ribosomal RNA
Rfam family: Bacterial small subunit ribosomal RNA
Source: RNAcentral